UCUCCGUUGGUGAACCAGCGGAGGGAUCAUUACUGAGUUCUUACAAACUCCCAACCCUUUGUGAAUCAUACCACUGUUGCCUCGGCGCCGAGCGGCAGCUACCCGGGAGCUACCCUGUAGAAGCGAGAGCAUCUACCCUGUAGCUACCCUGUAGUUGCACUCAACGCUCCGCCGGCGGACCACUCAACUCUGUUUUACAGUGUAUCUCUGAGUACUUAAACUAAAUAAGUUAAAACUUUCAACAACGGAUCUCUUGGUUCUGGCAUCGAUGAAGAACGCAGC
This 282-nucleotide unclassified non-coding RNA is filed under the name uncultured fungus. RNAcentral's name for it is "sequence contains ITS1, 5.8S rRNA gene". The stretch from base 234 to 282 matches the Rfam family "5.8S ribosomal RNA", at positions 1 to 49 of the family's 154-position model. Lineage: Eukaryota; Fungi. The record is from RNAcentral.